Molecule: unclassified non-coding RNA, 2952 nt
Filed under: Leishmania donovani
Lineage: Eukaryota; Euglenozoa; Kinetoplastea; Trypanosomatida; Trypanosomatidae
Description: gene:LdHU3.21.2400(CDS-product:protein_kinase_put ative)
Source: RNAcentral
CGCUUCUCUCCUCAACUGUCCUCUGCGAGUCUGCACUCACGCAAGUGUCGGUUGUGUGCGCGCCUGUGCACGGUCGCAUUUGAACGUCGUGCGCCACUCGCGCUUGUGCUCGUGUGUGUGUAUGUGUGCAUCGACGGACGCAUUGCCAUUCCGACUCUUUCUUCCUUUUCUCUACCCUCCUAGACGGUAUUGCUGCCUGUGUCUUCCGUCAUCAAGCGGGACGCGUGGGCACCAUGCCGACCUCCAGCGGCGUCGAUCAGGCCAAGCUGCGGGAGGUGAUCCGUGUGCUGAAGAGCGUCGGCCACGUAGGGAUGGCAGAGUCGUUGGAGGUGGAGUGGGGCAUGCGGCCCAACACCGCCUCUCACGCAAAGAACGCGAAGAAAGGACGGAAGUCGCAGCCACACAAGAGUCGCGAGUCCUCCAAGGCACGGGGCAACUCGUUCCCGUCCCUCUCCUCCAUCGCGGUCGCACCCUCUCCUCUCCAGGUGACGUCGCAGAGGCGAUUUGUGGUCACCUGCAUUGGUGACGAGGAGGACUUGUGGAGCCCGGACGAGGACCCCGCGGAUGCGAAGUGCUGCAUCGCGCCGCUCUUUGACUACGGCGCCGGCCUCCUGCGCGACCACUACGUCGAGUACGCUGCGCACCCCGUCUCUUUGGUGUCUGUUCAUCCAUAUGAGAAGCAGCAGCCACCGUCGAACUUACCAUGGCGUCACUUCGAACUUAAGGUGUUCUACGAGGCAGGGAAGACGGGGUCGGAGGAGAAAAAGGAGUUUGAAUUAGUGAAGGGCUAUCUCAUAGGCGGACGCUACCGCGUGGAUGCCCCGAUCGAUGCCGCGACCUUUUCUCGAACUGUCCGAUGCUACGACGAGCAGACAGGCCAGCCUGUGUGCCUCAAGAUAAUCCGAAACUCCAAGACCUUCUUAGACCAAGGCCUCGACGAGCUACGAGCGCUGACCUGCGUCAACGACGCCGGCGACGCCGAUGCAUGCUGCGUCGUGCGGCUGCUCGACUACUUCUACUUUCGAGAGCACCUUGUCCUCGUCACGGAGCUCCUGUUCGACAACCUGUACGAAUAUGCGAGGAAGCUCGACAUUGUAGAGCGCUGCGCUUACUUCACCCUUGCGCGUCUGCAGCGCAUCGUGCGCCAGGUGCUCACCGCGCUAAAGCUAAUCCAUUCCGUCAACCUCAUUCACUGCGACAUCAAGCCGGAGAAUAUCGCCUUCAAAUCAGUGGCCGACUGCGAUGUGAAAGUGCUCGACUUGGGCAGCAGCUGCUACAUGACGGACACGCUCAGCUCCUACGUCCAGUCCCGCUCCUACCGUGCGCCCGAGGUCAUUCUCGGCUGCAAGUACGGCCCCGCGGUCGACAUUUGGUCUCUGGGGGCUACAGCAGCAGAGCUGGCGACUGGAACAGUGCUCUUCAAUGUUGAGUCCGUGCCUACCAUGCUUGCCUCUAUCGCGAGCGUAUGCGGGCCGAUACCGGCGGAGAUGCUCCAGGAAGGGCGCAAUACCUCCCUCUACGUCACAAAACACGGGGCCUUCUACGACUACGAGGAUGAGCAGCUCGUCUUCCACUUUCCAUCGGAGCCGCCCGACGCGGCGGUGCUCUUCGGCUUCGACGAUCACGACUACGUUGGCUUUGUGCGGCUGUGCUUGACCUUGGACGCCGCAUUACGUCCCUCCGCCGCGCAGCUUCUCGAUCACCCGUUUCUCACCAAAACCUACACCGACUGAUGGUCUUUAUCUCUGGCUCUUGGAGGUGUUUCUGACGCUGCGGCUGCCUCUCCAUCCAUGAGUCCCUUCCUCUCGCGGCGUUGCUUCUCAUUCUCCGCUGUGUGCUGCUUUCACCCAAACGCCUUUUAUUCGCUUGAGUAUAUAUGCACAUGCACAACGUCACACAAUGUCGGUAUAAGAGGCGCCGUCCGUGUUGUCUCCUCUCCCUCCCCACACACCCCGCUCCUUGUUUGCGCGUCUCUCUCUGCCCCCUCAUAUUAGAUAUCACUGUUUUCCUUUUUCUUCUCGCUGUUCUCUCACCUCUCUCCCUCUGACUCUUCUUCGCUUCAACUCUCUCGGUGAAUGCAUGCACACGUGUAUGUGUGUGCGCCUUGUGCGCGUUUCCUUGUGGUCUCCCCAUUUUUCAUGUAUUUGUAUGUAUUUGCGACGGUGGUGGCCGUGGUGCAUGCGUGUAUCCAUUCUUGCAUGCUGCAACUACUGCUGCGGUUGUCGUCGGUAUUGUUGCUGCUUUUAGCGUCGAACAUGUGAGGGACGAUGACGCAGGGCGCUUCAGCGCCUAUCUUCUGUUUUUCGUUUCCUUUUCUCUGAGCCGGCUCCCAUUACUUUCUUGUCAAAACCGCCGAGGGGACGGCACGCACUAGCACCACGACGACGGUGGCGUCGACCCUCUCAUCCCUCCGCAUCAGCGCAUCACCACCUCCACCCUCCAACUUUCCCAGCCUCUGUUGCUCCUUUCCGUCUUAUACACACCACGUCUCCCUCACACUUUCUCUUUUUCGCUGAGUGCCUGCUGCUACUUGUUUUCUCUUAUCAUUUCAUGGCUUUCUCCACUGACACACACAGACACAGACACACCCUCAGGGGGCUCCGCUCAGCGGUGCUGCGGCUCCAUUCUCGCGUCAUCCCUUUCUCUCCAUUGAUGUGCGCCGCUUCUUUUUUGUUUUUCUUCCUCGUUCUUCUUGAUGCCGUCGCCUCUCCCUAUGACGGCACCACUGCGCAGCUCACUAAGUGCACCCAUUUGCGAUGAGUGCGUGUGUUGGCCGGUGCGCGUGUACUAUUAUUGCCCUGAGGCCCCAUCUACAUUCUCUUCUCUUUCUCUGUGGUGACUCGCCAUUCUGUUUCGUGCCAUGCCCUCAAACAUGUGUGUGUGCGCUUGUCUCUCUCUCGCUCUCUCUUGCUAUCGUUAUUGCCGUUUGCGUGUGCUUGCGCCGAUGAACAC